This 73-nucleotide transfer RNA is filed under the name Micromonospora costi. Its description in RNAcentral is "tRNA-Ala". It matches the Rfam family "tRNA". Rfam says of the family: Transfer RNA (tRNA) molecules are approximately 80 nucleotides in length. Their secondary structure includes four short double-helical elements and three loops (D, anti-codon, and T loops). Lineage: Bacteria; Bacillati; Actinomycetota; Actinomycetes; Micromonosporales; Micromonosporaceae. The record is from RNAcentral.
GGGCUUGUGGCGCAGCUGGUAGCGCGCCGCUCUGGCAGAGCGGAGGUCCCCGGUUCGAACCCGGGCAGGUCCA